This 1900-nucleotide ribosomal RNA is filed under the name Capsicum chinense (habanero). RNAcentral describes it as "SSU rRNA". It matches the Rfam family "Eukaryotic small subunit ribosomal RNA". The record is from RNAcentral. Lineage: Eukaryota; Viridiplantae; Streptophyta; Magnoliopsida; Solanales; Solanaceae.
CCUGGUUGAUCCUGCCAGUAGUCAUAUGCUUGUCUCAAAGAUUAAGCUAUGCAUGUAUAAGAAUGAACAAAUUCAGAUUGUGAAACUGCGAAUGGCUCAUUAAAUCAGUUAUAGUUUGUUUGAUGUUAUCUACUACUCAGAUAACCGUAUUAAUUCUAGAGCUAAUACGUGCAACAAACCCCGACUUCUGGAAGGGAUGUAUUUAUUAAAUAAAAGGUCGAUGCGGGCUCUUCCCAUUGUUGUGAUGAUUAAUGAUAACUCGACGGAUCGCACGGCUAUCGUUCCGGCAACACAUUAUUCAAAUUUUAGUCCUAUCAAGUUUGGAUGGUAGGGUAGUGUCCUACCAUGAUGGUGAUGGAUGACGAAGAAGUAGGUUUGAUUUCAGAGAGGGAGCCUGAGAAACAGCUACCACAUCUAAAGAAGGCAGCAGGCAUGCAAAUUACCCAAUCCUGACACGGGAAGGUAGUGAUAAUACAUAAUAAUAUCGGGCUCAAUGAAUCUGGUAAUUGGAAUGAGUACAAUCUAACUCCCUUAACGAGGAUCUAUUGGAGGGAGAGUCUGGUGCCAGCAGCCCCGAUAAUUCCAGCACCAAUAGCGUAUAUAUAAGUUGUUGCAGUUAAAAUGUUCAAAGUUAGACUUUGGGAUUGGCCGGCCGAUCCACAUAUGGUGUGCAUUGGUCAUCUCGUCCCUUCUAUCGGUGAUGCACUCCUGGCCUUAACUGGACGGGUCGUGCCUCCGGCGCUGUUACUUUGAAGAAAUUAGAGUGCUUAAAGCAAGCCUACGCUCUGUAUACAUUAGCAUGGGAUAACAUUAUAGGAUUUCAAUCCUAUUACGUUGGCCUUCCGGAUUGGAGUAAUGAUUAACAGGGACAGUCGAGGGCAUUCAUAUUUCAUAGUCAGAGGUGAAAUUAUUGGAUUUAUGAAAUACAAACAACUGCGUAAGCAUUUUUCAAGGAUGUUUUCAUUAAUCAAGAACAAAAGUUGGCGCCUCAAAGGCGAUCAGAUACCGUCCUAGUCUCAAUUAUAAAUGAUGCCAACCAGUGAUUGGUGGAUGUUGCUUUUAGGACUCCGCUAGCAACUUCUGAGAAAUCAAUGUUUUUGGGUUCCGGGGGGAGUAUGGUCGGAAGGCUGAAACUUGAAGAAAUUGAUGGAAGGGCACCAACAGAAGUAGAGCGUGUGGCUUAACUUGACUCAACACGGGGAAACUUACCAGGUCCAUACAUAGUAAGGAUUGACAGACUGAGAGCUCUUUCUUGAUUCUAUGGGUGGUGGUGCAUGGCCGUUCUUAGUUGGUGGAGCGAUUUGUCUGGUUAAUUCCGUUAACGAACGAGACCUCAGCCUGCUAACUAGCUAUGCGGAGGUAUCCCUUCGCGGCCAGCUNCCCAUUCUUAGUUGGUAGAGCGAUUUGUCUGGUUAAUUUUGUUUAUGAACGAUACCUUAACCUGCUAACUAGCUAUGCGGAGGUAUCCCUUCAUGGCCAAAUUCUUAGAGGGACUACGGCCUUUUAGGCCGCGAAAUUUUGAGGCAAUAACAGGCCUGUAAAACCCUUAGAUAUUCUGGACCGCACGCGCGAUACGCUGAUGUAUUCAACAAGUUUAUAGCCUUGUCCAAUAGGCCCAGGUAAUCUUUGAAAUUUCAUCGUGAUGGGGAUAGAUUAUUGUAAUUGUUGGUCUUCAAUGAGGAAUUCCUAGUAAGCACGAAUCAUCAACUUGCGUUGACUACGUCCCUGCCCUUUGUACACACUGCCCGUCACUCAUACCGAUUGAAUGAUCCAGUGAAAUAUUUGGAUCACGGAGACGUGGGUGGUUCGCUGCCAUCAAAGUCAUGAGAAGUCCAUUGAACCUUAUCAUUUAGAGGAAGGAGAAAUCAUAACAAGGUUUUUGUAGCUGAACCUGCGGAAA